GCCACUUUGGCUCAGGGGUAGAGCAGCUCACUCGUAAUGAGCAGGUCCCCGGUUCGAAUCCGGGAAGUGGCUCCA
RNAcentral lists this transfer RNA (75 nucleotides) under Acidibacillus sp. RNAcentral's name for it is "tRNA-Thr". It matches the Rfam family "tRNA". Rfam says of the family: Transfer RNA (tRNA) molecules are approximately 80 nucleotides in length. RNAcentral also lists the same sequence under 1 other name. Lineage: Bacteria; Bacillati; Bacillota; Bacilli; Caryophanales; Alicyclobacillaceae. The record is from RNAcentral.